This 760-nucleotide ribosomal RNA is filed under the name uncultured Acinetobacter sp. Its description in RNAcentral is "bacterial SSU rRNA". It matches the Rfam family "Bacterial small subunit ribosomal RNA", at positions 567 to 1327 of the family's 1533-position model. The record is from RNAcentral. Lineage: Bacteria; Pseudomonadati; Pseudomonadota; Gammaproteobacteria; Moraxellales; Moraxellaceae.
GUGCGUAGGCGGCCAAUUAAGUCAAAUGUGAAAUCCCCGAGCUUAACUUGGGAAUUGCAUUCGAUACUGGUUGGCUAGAGUAUGGGAGAGGAUGGUAGAAUUCCAGGUGUAGCGGUGAAAUGCGUAGAGAUCUGGAGGAAUACCGAUGGCGAAGGCAGCCAUCUGGCCUAAUACUGACGCUGAGGUACGAAAGCAUGGGGAGCAAACAGGAUUAGAUACCCUGGUAGUCCAUGCCGUAAACGAUGUCUACUAGCCGUUGGGGCCCUUGAGGCUUUAGUGGCGCAGCUAACGCGAUAAGUAGACCGCCUGGGGAGUACGGUCGCAAGACUAAAACUCAAAUGAAUUGACGGGGGCCCGCACAAGCGGUGGAGCAUGUGGUUUAAUUCGAUGCAACGCGAAGAACCUUACCUGGCCUUGACAUACAGAGAACUUUCCAGAGAUGGAUUGGUGCCUUCGGGAACUCUGAUACAGGUGCUGCAUGGCUGUCGUCAGCUCGUGUCGUGAGAUGUUGGGUUAAGUCCCGCAACGAGCGCAACCCUUUUCCUUAUUUGCCAGCACUUCGGGUGGGAACUUUAAGGAUACUGCCAGUGACAAACUGGAGGAAGGCGGGGACGACGUCAAGUCAUCAUGGCCCUUACGGCCAGGGCUACACACGUGCUACAAUGGUCGGUACAAAGGGUUGCUACACAGCGAUGUGAUGCUAAUCUCAAAAAGCCGAUCGUAGUCCGGAUUGGAGUCUGCAACUCGACUCCAUGAAGUC